UACGUAGGGGGCUAGCGUUGUCCGGAAUCAUUGGGCGUAAAGCGCGUGUAGGCGGCCCGGUAAGUCCGCUGUGAAAGUCGGGGGCUCAACCCUCGGAUGCCGGUGGAUACUGUCGGGCUAGAGUGCGGAAGAGGCGAGUGGAAUUCCCGGUGUAGCGGUGAAAUGCGCAGAUAUCGGGAGGAACACCGGUGGCGAAGGCGGGUCUCUGGGCCUUACCUGACGCUGAGGAGCGAAAGCGUGGGGAGCGAACAGG
This 253-nucleotide ribosomal RNA is filed under the name uncultured bacterium. RNAcentral describes it as "partial 16S ribosomal RNA". It matches the Rfam family "Bacterial small subunit ribosomal RNA", at positions 524 to 776 of the family's 1533-position model. The record is from RNAcentral.